Molecule: long non-coding RNA, 347 nt
Filed under: Mustela putorius furo (domestic ferret)
Lineage: Eukaryota; Metazoa; Chordata; Mammalia; Carnivora; Mustelidae
Description: lncRNA (ENSMPUG00000026334.1)
Source: RNAcentral
UUCCCCCCUUCCCUGGCGAAUCCAGCUGCUUUGUUCUCUCUGCUGAGAGAGGACUUCUCAUUCUUCUCCAGCUGCAAGGCAUUAAGGGGACAGAGUUACAGGGAGGAAGCUUGCCUGUGCGUGGGGAAAAUGAGCUGCACUGGGUUUGGCAGAAUUUGGCAGCUGUUCCACAUCGGCCACUGUAAUAAGAAUUUCCAGUCAUAUACCUCUAAAAGGGAAACACAUGAGCCAUGGGAGUACCCUGCUGGGGGACAAACACGAGAUAUUACAAAGGUAUGACAGGUAAUGUCACUAUAUCUUUUAUUAUUAUUAUUAUUAUUAGUAGUAGUAGUAGUAAUAGUAGUAGU